GAGGAGGAGGAGGACACACGCCAGGCGCAGCGCGGCGGCAACAACAGCAGCAGCGGCGGCAACAGCGGGGAGACACCGGCGGCGGCUCCUCGGAAGCGGCAGCCGCGCCAGCAGCGCCCGCCCGCCCCGCGCGUCCCCUCCCUCACUCCCUCCCCCGCCGCGGAGACAGGGGGCAGCGCCGGGAGGAGAACCGGGCUCAGCGUGUGUGUGCGCGCGGGAGGAGGAGGAGGAGAAGGAGGGGGGGACACACCGAGGACUGCGCCGGCCGAGGGCGCACGGAGCAGGGAAGCGGCGGCGGCGGCACCGAGAGGCGGCGGCGGGUCCUUGUGCCCGGAGAGGAGGGCGCAGCCCGCACGGGGGUUUCUACCGAGUUUCCUCUUUUUUUUUUUUCUUUUUUUUUUUCUUUUUUCUUGGUCCCUGGGACUCAGCGGCGGGUCUGCGUUUGUCUCCGGAUUUGAAUCCUCCUCCUUCUCCUCCUUCCUCGGGGAAGCUCCCCUCCCCGCCCCCUCCCCUCCCCCACCGCCUCCCUGCCCGCCCGGAUCCAGCCGGGCGCCCCGUGCCGCGGUCGCGUUGCUCGGCAGAGCUGCUGCGGGCGCUCGCCGUCUCUGCGCGGGCUUGGAAUAUGGUUGGGGAAAUGGAAACCAAGGAGAAGCCGAAGCCGAGCCCCGAUUACCUGAUGCAGCUGAUGAACGACAAGAAGCUGAUGAGCAGCCUCCCCAACUUCUGCGGGAUCUUCAACCACCUCGAGAGGCUGCUGGACGAAGAAAUUAGCAGAGUACGGAAAGACAUGUAUAACGACACAUUAAAUGGUAGUACGGAGAAGAGAAGUGCAGAAUUACCAGAUGCUGUGGGACCUAUUGUACAGUUACAAGAGAAACUAUAUGUGCCUGUAAAAGAAUAUCCAGAUUUUAACUUUGUUGGAAGAAUCCUUGGGCCCAGAGGACUAACAGCUAAACAACUUGAGGCAGAAACAGGAUGCAAGAUAAUGGUCCGAGGGAAGGGCUCAAUGAGGGACAAAAAGAAGGAAGAACAGAAUCGAGGCAAGCCCAACUGGGAACACCUGAAUGAAGAUUUACAUGUACUUAUCACUGUGGAGGAUGCGCAAAACAGAGCAGAAAUAAAGCUGAAGAGGGCUGUUGAGGAAGUAAAAAAGUUACUGAUACCUGCAGCAGAAGGAGAAGACAGCCUUAAAAAGAUGCAGCUGAUGGAGCUUGCAAUUCUGAAUGGCACCUACAGAGAUGCCAACAUCAAAUCACCAGCCCUUGCCUUUUCUCUUGCAGCAACAGCCCAGGCUCCAAGGAUUAUUACUGGGCCUGCGCCUGUUCUCCCACCAGCUGCCCUGCGUACUCCUACGCCAGCUGGCCCUACCAUAAUGCCUUUGAUCAGACAAAUACAAACCGCUGUCAUGCCAAACGGAACUCCUCAUCCCACCGCUGCAAUAGUUCCACCCGGACCCGAGGCCGGUUUAAUUUACACACCAUACGAGUACCCCUACACACUGGCACCAGCUACAUCAAUCCUUGAGUACCCUAUUGAACCUAGUGGUGUAUUAGGUAUGGCUUUCCCAACGAAAGGCUAAGAAUUCAAGAACGGUCUUAACUGAUCCUUCAUCAGAUCUGAAUUUUAACAAAUGCUUAGUUUUCAGCAGCCUUGAAAAAAGCUUGGCCUAGCAGUCAGUGACUUACUUGCACUUUUUUGCACAUAGAUUUAAAAUAAAAUAGUGCUAUUAAUUUGGAUUAGGUCCUAUUAUUACAGAGUAGCUGUAAUUUAUGAGUGUAUAGUAGUAUACUGACUGCUAAGUGUUCUAUAUAGUGUUUGCUUUACUAAUCACCUAAUUCAUUGCAGUUCAUACUUAUUGACUUAAAGUUUAAAAUCACAAUCUGUAGGCUUGAAGAAUUGCUUUAAAACUUUUUUUUGUGGUAGAACUGGAAGUGAUCUUAAGGUUAGCAAAUAAUUGUCAGUAUUAAAGAUGGCAUUAUUUAAAAUAGUCCUGCUGCAAGAAAGGCACUUCAGUGAAUAUGUGACUAGUAAAGCUUAAAUGUGCUUGGGUCUAAUAGAUUUCAUGAAAUACUGUAAUUUUGGGAUUGUAAAUGAAUGGAUUAAACAGGUUAAGGCCAGGAUGUUUAAAAUAAAUGCAAUAUUAAUCUGCACAGAUAAACUUCUUUUUAAGAUUAAGAUUUGAAACUACUGUGCCUUAACUUGUUGCUUUUCUUAAAAUGAACUUUUGUAGUUAAUGAUCAUUUAAAUCCAUUUUGAUAAACCUGCUGUUAAUGUUUUCUGUGAAUGUUUUCUAACUUUGUCUUGGUAAUUGCAAUUUAACUAGGUGCGGUGGCUACUAAAGUUCGAAGGCACGAUAUGCGUGUCCAUCCUUACCAAAGGAUUGUGACCGCAGACCGAGGUUAGUUUAGUUCUGCAGUUCUUGUUUGUAAGAAGUGCUUUGAGUGUACAUGAGAUUUGCAACACCACAGCUGGUUAACCAAAUACCCGGUCUUGACCCAUUCAUGAUUUUUCUCAAAAACCUGGAAAGUUAAUAUUUUAAAGCUUUGGGAAUGCUUGCAGUUUUUAAAAAAAUUUCUAAACUUGGCCUUCCCAGCUCAAUUAAAUAGAUAUAAUUUGAUAUAUUUAACAGAAAUUCUAUAACUGAUUGAGUUUUAAAAAUGAAACAUCUAUCUGCAUCAGGAAACGCUAUGAAAUCAGUGCUGCAAUAAUUAAUUUGGUUGUGUUCCCCUCUUCCCCCCCUGCCCCCAAUUCAUUCUUUUAAUUGGCGUGGAAAUAUCAGAUUGGUGUUGCAAAACAAAAUGAAUGGAUGGUUGCUUAAUGAGAAAGAAGUAAAGGAAUAAAUGCCUCCUGUCUGUGUUUGGAGAAAUCUGAAGAUUUAGAUUCCUUUUUUUUUCCAAUAAACUUUUGAGCCACUGUACUGUAUAUUAUGAGGAGGAUGCAUGUUCUCAGAUACCUAACUGAAUUCAGAAAGCCGCCACCGGCAACUAACCUAUGACCUUCUGACCUCUGAACUCUUCACCCAAUGAUGACCUGACCAUGCCUGCCUGCUGAUCAGUUAACUGGUAAACGCCUUUGCUUGCCUGUCUUCAGUGCAGCGAGCUGGGGCACUUGUCCGUUCGUCUUACCAUCUAACAAAACAGACAAAGAAAUUGUUGUCCUCCAACUCCGCUUUUUGUUGUUCUCCUGUUUGGGUGAAAGUGGUUCUAGAACCUGCACUGAAUAGUAGUAAAGCAAUAAGGUCCAACUCAUCCCUCCGCACUGAUCAUCCUCUAGUGUCCCGCCCCAAGCGAACGGUAAGGAGGCCUCGCACGAGAUGGAGACAGAUGUCCCUUAACUACCCGAUGACAGAGGCAGUUACUGUGAGAGACUUCUAGGAAUAUUUUUCUUCUCAGAAAAAAAAAAAAAAAAAAAAAAAAAAGUCAAAGCUCUCUCUGAAUGUACUGUGUGAUGAUGCAUCAUGCAUGAACCUUUGGUCAGGGAUGUCAUUGGGGAAGGGAUUCCAAAAAGUAUUCAAAAUUUGAUAUGCUGUUUAGUCACUACCAGUGCCCUCAAAGGGCAGAUGUUGCAGCCUUUUUUCUAUUGCCUGCCAAAUUGGACAUUUUAAAGGAAAGUGUGCCAUGAAAUGCAGAUUACGAUGACUUUUCAGAACUACAUUAAUGCAGAGAACAAAACAGCAACACUAUUAAAGCGAAAUACAAGUUUAAAUUGUUUUAACCAUAUUUUAAUCUCCUUGGAAGAUUACAUGAGAACAAGGUACAUGCAUUAUGUGUCACAUUACUGGGCAAACUGUUCAAAUAUUUUUUUUAAACCUCCCUGUAUAGAAAAAAUUUCAUUAAGGAUGUAAAAGCCAUGCUUGCCUAUUUGCUGUAUACAUGUAAUGAAAUGUAGAUAAAGUGUAGUGCAUUGAAACAAAAUGAACAAAAAAGUAGAUACUUUUACUAUACAAGGGUGCUGGUGCAGAAAAAAAAUAUAUUUUUGGAAAUGUAGCAUUUUAUACUUUCAAGUGUUAUAAAAAAAGAAAAAAAGAACAAAGAAACCCUUUAUUUCAUUAAAUGAUUUUUUCUGGUGGUUGUCAAGAAACAAAAGACCAAAAGAGCCUUUUAGUCUUUCUUUUUUAUUUUUUAAGUAUUGGAAUAAGUCUAAAGAAAAGGAAGUGCCUUAUUUUCUUCAUGGUCAUUUAGUCAAAUGUCUUGUAUAAUCAGCUUCUCCCUCAGACAAGUUACUGCAUGCCACUCAGUCGCCCAGUAUGUGAAAGAAGCUGUGAGGGAAGACAAAUGAUGAGUUGACCAUAUUAAUUACCUGAUUUUUGCCAUACUAGUGUGAUGUGACUUUGCCAAAAUCUCAUUAAGUGAAGUAUUUGCUAAGUUUUCAUCAAACCAGCCCAUUAUUAUUUCAGCCACUCUACUUUUUAAAUCAUAGCAAAUGCCGUACUUGUGCAACGUAAACCAAAGGGUUCUGUGAUACAGACUGUCUCAUGCUAAAGGAGAUUAUUAGCUGCCAAACGUUUGUAGAGCUGGAAGUUACGUCAUUUUUGUUCAGGGAUAGAGAGGAGUUUUCUUGAUUCUGGUUGAAAUAAAUAUUACAUCAACUGUAGUAGGCUUUGGCAUCACCCAGAAAAUGGAUGUUCUGCAGAUAAUGAAACUGAAAGUGCUUAGCGAAUUUCAGUCAGUGACUGAGCACAUCCCCAGUUCCCAGGAACAGCUCCUGCAGUGGCAAACAGCAUGGAAGUUGCUUUACUUUUCAGCUCGUCUUUGACUAUUGUUAGAUCUGGCCCAUUGGCUUUUCUUGAAAAGAUAAGCAGGAGAGGGACUUUUUGAAGUCCAGCUAUACCUUAUUUUUAACCCUUGUUACCACAUGAGGUUCGGAUAACUGGGCAAUUGCAAGAGCCGAAGCUGUUGAACGCACAGUAUUUAAUUCUGAAAACAUUAAGUGUUACAUUGUGGGGCUCAGUACUAAACUUGGCAAAUAUCAGGUGAUAAUUUUACUCCCCUCUUGUCAACUUAUUCUCCUCCUGCAAAUCUUCACAGCUUCCAAAUGAAAGGUCAAUAGUAAGCUAAGAGGGCUUACAUUUUUAAGCACCUGCAUGGUGACCUCAUCUAACAUCUUGUCUCACCUGGAAAUAAUUAUCAGUUUAUUUACUAUGCAAUAGACAUUCAUCCUUUCAUAUUCAGCUAGAUUUUUGUUUAUUGUGCCACCAGCUUUGUCUUCCUGUUACACAUACAGUUGUGUUGAUUUUAUUUACAGUAUAUGCUGUGCCAUUUUGAUUUUAUUUUGGUUGGUUGGUUGAAUAAACUUGCGACACUCGAACAUUUGAAGAGAGAUUUGCUAAAACAAUACCAGUAUUUGAUCCAGUUUCAUCUCAACUAUGAUAAAACCUGGACAUUUUAGACAUUUAUCAAAGGUCUUUUUUGGGGGGGGAGGGGAAGUGUAUGGAAUAGAUGUGUGACAUGUGAAAGUAAUGUUUGCUCUGAACAAACUUCUGAAAACUUAGUUGACAAAAUUUUGGAUCAGCUUAAAAAAAAAGCAUGACUUUUGAAAUCUCUGAAUGCCUUGGUUCUCAGUAUUAUCAUUCUUUAAUGACUUUUUCUUUAUUAAAAUAAGUAGUUUUAAGACUUCUUUCUGACAGUAUUAUGUAAUUUUUUUAGAGUGGGUAGAUGGGAGUGUCGCUUGUAUGUAACCGUACAGAUGACAUGUAUUUGUCUAUUCUUUAUUAUCUUAGUAGUUUCAUGCUAUGUAUGUACCAUAACCAACCUAUUGCCUAUGAGAAACAUGUAAGAUAAUGUAUUUACAGCCAUUGUUACAAGUUUAUAAUGUAUUUUUCUAUCUUGUUUUAUAUGUAUGUUAUAUAACAUUCAAAAGAAUUUUUUUCCUGAUUGAGAAAAAAGGAUACAAAAUGCAAAACCCACAAUUUUGAUAACUGAAAAAUUGCCAAUUGUUUUGCAGUACUUUAUUAUAUUGGGAGUGUUGUCUUUCUUGGGCUUUUAGUUAGCUACUGGAUGAAUACAUUAGACAUAUUUGGGUUUUAGUUGGGUUUUUACAUAGCUUGCAUUUUAAUUCUUUGGUUCUUUGCUGUUUCUAUUAACCCAUAGCAUUAUUUUAAUAAAUGUUAUAAUACCAACCUACUAACUCUGGAUUAUGUCUGUUUAUUAACCAUUACAUGUUUAAUUAAAAUAAACAAAUAAAGACGGAAGAAUGUAAAGUCGAGUUACUGGACUAACCCUGAAGAACGUGACCACAGAUAACACAACGUGACUUGUUUUUAUGUUGUUUGUCAGCUGACAUUCUGCACACUACUAUUAAGUUGGCUUUGGUCAUUCUGACCUUUUACCUUGGGGAAUAGGUGCCAGUAGAAAUGGGAACAAAGUAGCAUUUUUGAGGCAUUCUUCUUGUAGAGUCUUGCCACUUGCCUUUCAGCAUCUGCAUUACUAAUUCCACACUUUCUUUUUCUUUCUCUAAAAUAAUUAUUGUUGGCUCACAGCAAAAGAGCAAAAGAUGCCAAUGUAUUGGUAAAUCGUGAUGGUGUACAGAAACCAGUUUGAUUCUUUGUUGAACCAUUCGGAGGUUGCAGUUAAUCGCACAGUAAUUUGUGAUGUGUUGGUUUUGGCACCUGAUUCACUGUUGCCUCACGUGAUGUUUCUAAGCACAAAAUAUUUCUGGAUAGAAUUGCUGUACAUUGAAACACAAAACCUGGGGGUUUCCUUUGGCAAAAGUGCCUUAUUUAUACCACGCUGUUUCAAGUAACUUUAUUUUUGGUACUUCUGCUCAAGUCUGUCAGUAUUGCCUAGCUCAGGGGAGUACAACUUCUGUAAGCCAAAGGUCAGACUGGAUCUUUUCCUAGUGACUGCAGAAAGUACAAAAAUACACCUUUCCCUAAAUUACCGAGCAACAUCCAUUUCAAAUUCCAGAGCUGCCUUUAUGUGAUCUUUAUCCCUGUGGAUGACUGGAGCAACAUGAAUGCAGGGAAUUGAAAUGGUGAAAAUGCUGUUUUGAAUGUUCAUCUAUGCAAAUAUUUUUACAGAUAUGCUUCCCCUUUCUUAGAGCUACACUGUCUGAGGCUCCUUUACAUUUCCCAGGUAGUUGUAGAUUUGUAACCUUGAGUGGGCAGUAAUUACUGUUAAUGUUGAGGGAUCUCCUCAACAGUUACCAACAAAAGUUGGUAACUUUUCACAUGUCAACAGUUUUCUUUCUGAAAGUCCAUUUUUUUCCUGUAGAUAGUAAAAAUUCAGAUGAGGAAUCUGAAUCUGUUCAAAUUCCUCCUUUAAUUUAUGACUUUUCAAACUAUUUAUCUUGAAAUACAUGCAACAUAAAACUAUAAAUAGAGUUCUCACAGUAUUGCUAGUAAUUAAAAUUUUAUGCAUUUUUAUGGAGAAAAAUAGCCUAGCUUUGAUGACAUUUGUUAGUUUUCUAAUGGCAUGUAGUUCUUUGUUUUACAAAAGUUUUAGGUAGAGAUGAAAUACUAAUUCAUUUUGAAUAGUUUCACUUGUGCAGAAUUUUCUCUUUUAAUUUAACAGAUCAUGUUGCUAUCCUAAAACUCAGCCACAGGCAGAUAAUAGGAAUAUUAGAUAUUUAUAACAGAUAAUAUCAGGACCUUUUGACUGGAUAAUGGAACAAGUGUCAUUACAGAGCAAAUAAUUUAUAUUCUUAAAGAAUUUUAUCAGAGGCACACAUGUAGUUUGGUGAAGUACUCUGUCCAGUAUAGGUGAAACUAUUCAGAUGAAACAAAACUUUAAUGUUUUUUAUUGAAGAAUACUUCUAUUUCCAGAACUACUGCUUUUCUGUAAUAUUUUUAUUAUUUUGUGUUUUUAUCAAUAGAUGUUAACUGCUGUUAUACUUUGUCCACAGUGCGUUUUCAUCUCAUUUUUCAGUAUAUGCAGUAGUCAAAGUUGCUGUAAAUUUCAUAGUACUUUAGAGCUGAAGGGCAGAAAAAAAUAGGAAAACUUUAAAAUCAAAAUAAUAUCUUCAUUAUUGUUGCCCGCUAAAGGUAUUUCUCAAUUUACCUGAGUGCCUAUCUGAAAAUUUAACUGUUUUAUACUUUGCCUGCUUAUAGGAGAGGUACGAACUGUUUUCAUCACCAAAUUUGAGGAUAUUAUUCAAUAUUGCUGAAUCACUGAAAUUAGCUUCUUUUUCUUUCUUACCAUUCUGAGAUUAAAUUGUCUUAACGUUUGAAAGAUCAUACAUUCAAGACAAUUAGAUCAUUGGUCUUUCAUCCAAUAAAAUGGGAUUUAUCUUAGAGGAAAUAUUUUUUUGUAGGUGAAAAUAUAAACAAAAAUAUAAUCUAGACUUUCAAAGUAAAAUCUGAGCAAUGCUGUUCAUAUCUUAAAUGUUGUACCAAAGUACAACAAAUUUAGUUUCUUCAAGAGUAUUUUUGUGCAUAUUAUAAAGUGCCUUCAAGAACAUCUUUAAGAUAUUUUUAACGAGCAUAUGUUCAGUAUACUGACGAUACUGAUCUUUUAUUUGAAUAUAUCUUUUAAAAGUGUUUCCAAAAUCUACAUGUAGCAAAAGGUUUAUUGCCAGAUUGUACUACAUGAGGGGGACCACUAAAAGGUUUUCUGCCCUGAAAACGCAGGGAAACAUUGAAGUGUGUUACCAUCCAUUAAGAAAUUAACUUGGGGGAAACAUAUGAAACUGAGUUCUUUGUGUAUGGAUAAAAAUACCAGUUAUCAGAAAUAGUACAUUGUACAGAGUAGAAUCUGAGUAACACAUUCCUAGGGCUGGAAGUACAUGGAAGUACAUAACUGUUCCUGGAAUUUCUGUUUUGUUCUAAUAUGUUUUAUAUCUUUUUCUCUAAAACACUGUUAAUGGAAUACUGUCCAAAUAACACAUGACCCAUAGCAUUAACACGUGGUAAUCAAUGUUGAAUCAAACUGGUUAAUGAAAGUAGAGCGCUCUUCCUUCUCUGUGCCUGCGCACUAAUUGCAGGUGGUGCAUAGGGGCUGGGGCUUAGGCACAGCAGGCUGCAGUCCUGAUUUCUUGGUGCCUGCAGUUCGGGGGUCCGUCUUUGACAACAGACUAACUGGGAGGAGUCUGCCUCCCAAGGCAAAGAUUAACCGAGAUCUGAAACUCUUAGUAGAAUUAAUUGAAAAUACAGCAACAAUAAAGAGAUAUAUAUAUACAUAUAUGCUUUGACUUGUAUUAUGGCAGUUUGUGUGAAACAUUUAAGGUUUUGUUUGUGCAAAAUAAUGUAUUCUGAGGGGAAAAGCAAACAUGGACGUUGCCAAAACACAUGUAAAUAAACACCAUUUAUGACUGUACAUUAUGUGCAAUAAAGUAACUGGAAAAAGUGCAUGUACUUUAUCCUCAAAAGAAAACUGACAGCUCUCAAAGCUGUAGCUAUAGUUUUAUUUUCUGAAAAGUUAAAUUUUAUUCUGUAUCUAAACUGCAGAAUAAAGAAUGUACAUUUUUCACACUUAAA
This is a non-coding RNA of Agelaius phoeniceus (red-winged blackbird), 9412 nucleotides long. NCBI's taxonomy places the organism in Eukaryota, Metazoa, Chordata, Aves, Passeriformes, Icteridae. The record is from RefSeq and is a predicted model, not a curated record.